This 420-nucleotide ribosomal RNA is filed under the name bacterium. RNAcentral describes it as "partial 16S ribosomal RNA". It matches the Rfam family "Bacterial small subunit ribosomal RNA", at positions 355 to 776 of the family's 1533-position model. The record is from RNAcentral.
UGGGGGAUAUUGCACAAUGGGCGAAAGCCUGAUGCAGCGACGCCGCGUGGGGGAUGAAGGCUUUCGGGUUGUAAACCUCUUUCGCUAUCGAACAAGGCCCGCUUAGGGUGGGUUGAGGGUAGGUGGAGAAGAAGCGCCGGCUAACUACGUGCCAGCAGCCGCGGUAUUACGUAGGGCGCGAGCGUUGUCCGGAAUUAUUGGGCGUAAAGGGCUUGUAGGCGGCUUGUUGCGCCUGCUGUGAAAACGCGGGGCUUAACUUCGCGCGUGCAGUGGGUACGGGCAGGCUUGAGUGUGGUAGUGGUGACUGGAAUUCCAGGUGUAGCGGUGGAAUGCGCAGAUAUCUGGAGGAACACCGAUGGCGAAGGCAGGUCACUGGGCCAUUACUGACGCUGAGGAGCGAAAGCAUGGGUAGCGAACAGG